Molecule: non-coding RNA, 3002 nt
Organism: Camellia sinensis
Lineage: Eukaryota; Viridiplantae; Streptophyta; Magnoliopsida; Ericales; Theaceae
Source: RefSeq, a predicted model, not a curated record
UGUUUUUUUCCAGAUAGGUAAGCUCUUCGUCACUCUCCCUCCACGAUUUUCUUUCUUUGGCAACGGCGAGAUUUCAACCUGGAAACAGUGCUCUCUCUUCGGCAGUGGCGAAAUUUCAAUCUUGACCUAAUUCGCGUCACUUUCUCUCUCUAGAAAGGUGAGUCUGUUCUUGGAUGAAUCAUCAGCUUCUUUGUUUCAAUCCAUUGUCUCAUUUUACUGCCAAUUUUGGGGUUGUGAUGUUAGAUUUAGAGCUUUUCGUUGUUAGGGCUUGUCUAAUGGAGUUUUUUUUUUGGUUGAAGUUUUCGUUUCGUUUUCAAUAGAUUUCGCUAGUCUAGUGAGCGAUCCAUUGUUUUCACUGUAGAAUUGGUUUUAUUUUUGACAUUUUAAAGUUUUUCAAUUAUGUAGAUCGGAUUUCGUUGAAUCUUUUGAUUGUUUGGUCUUGAAAUUCGAAUUUCGGGAGCAGAGUGCUUGAACCUUGUUCUAUUUUUUGCUAGAAAUGUCUUGUUUAGGUCUUUGCCUCAUUUGAACCAUUUUUGAUACUCCUUUCGGGUUAGGUUUUAUUUGAAUUUAUCAGUAUUGUGAAGAUUUUUAUGUGUUUGACUUGAAUUUCAAGUCUCACUUGAUGUCAUAUAGUGUUUGGUUCAUGAAAUGCUUAGAAUUUAAUAUCAAUUUGCUUAUUUGAUUGCCUAAGCCUGUUUAGAUGUAGUUUCUGCUUAUUUAGAAUUGUAAAAGUGGUUAAUGAGGUUUCACUGACUGACCUAAUUUAAAUUUUGUUUGUUGCUCAAACAUUGGAGGGAAUUUUAGGUGAUAGUUAAAGAAUUAACAGUCUCUUGCAUUGAGUGAUCGUUUACUGCUUUCCAUUUGAAGAACUUUCCUUGUAAAUAGAAGUGAUAGUAAAGUCUAAUUGAAGUGUGUUCCAUGUGAGAGGAAACAUGGCUUUUUUUAGGAAUUACGUUAAUGAAACGGUUUCGCAAAGUGCCUUUGAUGACAAAGGCCAGGGACAAACCAUGGAGAGAAUGCAUGGGAUGGUUGGAAAUGAAGAUGUAGAGAGGACUUCUAGUGAUAAAGAUUUUGAAAUCAAGAUGGAUGGCCACUAUAGAAGUGAUGGUGAACCAGAUGAUGCAAGUAGGCACCAAGAUGGUGCAACUGCAGACAAUGGUAGAACAUCAAAUUUGUAGCCUUCUGGAAAGAGAACUGCUAUGGCUGGCAAAUGGUGGAAAUUGCUUUUUUGAAGAACUUAAAAAAUUGAUAAAUAUAUGUAUACGUAGAUUAUAUGUAGCCUGCAACAACAGAUAGACUGGAAUAUAUUGUGGAAACCAUGGUGAACAUAAACCUGUAGGCAUUCCAAAUAAAGUGCUAUGCUAUGUACUAUAAUGGUGUAUGUUGAGUCAACAUCCUUCUUUUGCAGGCAUUUUUUUGUCCACCUUUAAUCUAAAAGUGGGUUGCUUUCUUGCAAUGUGAUGCUCAUUGGUUCUCACAUAUUUUCUUCAGUGUUAUUCUUUCUUAAAAGACUGUUUGUUCUUAAAUCAAAAGAAUGUGAUAUUAGUUAUAGUCUGACUGGUACAUGUUGUUAUUUAUGGCAGUGCACUUUAGUUCUUUCAUUUUCAGUAACUUUUUAGGCCUUUUCAUUUCUUUGUAUGUACACAAACUAGCCUGUCUUUGAUAUUAACACGCAUUCUCUGCAGAAUCUGCCCCAAAUUUUCCCAAGUUUUCUAACUUCUUUUAGAUAUGAAUCUAAUCUCCACUUGUAUUAUUUCAAUAAUUAACAUUUCGUUCAACUUACCAUUAGGAGUUACAGUGACAAUUACAUCUCUAUAUUGUGGAUAUGCUAUUUUGUCUUCAGUGUGUGCUAAUUAAUAGAAUUGUUCAUGACACUGUAGAAUGUACAAACUAUGUGCAUAUGAUAUUUUAUUACAUUUGCUUAUGAAAGAAUUUGAACUAAUUGUCCUGUAGUUGAGAGUUUCAUAUAUGUUGCAGAUGUUCUUCAGGUUUCUUAAUAAUGGUAUUAUUUCCUUUGUUAAGUCACUCUUUUGUUAUCAGUUUCUUGCUCUGGUUCUUUUUUUUUCUUUAAAUUUAAAAUUUUUUCCUUUUCCUUGUGGGUGGGAGGAUUUUUGGGACAAUGGAUUCCUCCUCAUGUACAAAUUUCACAUGGAUAGGUAGGGAGCAAGAUACAUAAAUUUCACAAAGUGACUUAGAGAAUGUGAAGCCAGUCUAUUUAGGGUUUUUGGGAUGUUGAUCAAUAGUAAUGUGAUACCAUUUGUCUGAAACCUUAAUUGCAUCUGAACUAGAAUCUGGGCAGGAGCCGAAAAGUGGAUCCGAGUAUAAAAACGAGGAUGGAUCUGAAGAAGAUUCAUUAGAUGAAAGAGAAGAUAAAUUAGGGCCAGAAGGUGAUGAUGGGCAGAAGGAAGCAGAUAAGGUUCGAAGGGGUCAAAUUGAUGUCCCUGCUGAUGAAAUGUUGUCUGAUGAUUACUAUGAGCAGGAUGUAGAUGAUCAGAGUGACUCCUUGCAUUACAGAUGGUGAUGAUGAGGAAGAUGCUUAUUAUAGAUGUAAACAUAGCUGUUGCAGUUGAAGCCAUCUUGGCAAUUGGGAAUCUUGCUAAGGGCUUAAGAACCCAUUUCUCUGGCAAUUCAAUCUUCUUAUUGCCUGUUUUGCUUGGUUACUUCACGCUCGUUGGUGAUUUUGAAGCUCAAUGGUUUGGCUUUGAAGUUUGGUAGUGUUUGGAACUUUUUUCGCUAAGCUGUGUCAGGAAGUGGAUCAUCCUACAGUUUUCAAUACUUUUUGUAUACAUUCCUCUUUGAUGUUUUUACUAUUAUAUCCAUUAGUUUAGUACCAACUCCUACGGGUUGUAAAGGAGAUUAUACUAUAAUAUUUGGUUGGGUAGUUGUAGAAAGUAAUGGUGAUAUAGUUGUAAUACUUUUUGUUACUGUAAAAUUGUGUUGUUGCUUUCAAAGAAGUUGAAUUUACAACUAGUAUUCUACCCAGGUGUUAGUGCUAUAAUAAA